AUUCGCUGACGAGUCUCAGACAGGAUGAAACACGCGUCCUGGAU
RNAcentral lists this non-coding RNA (44 nucleotides) under Schistosoma margrebowiei. The record is from RNAcentral. Lineage: Eukaryota; Metazoa; Platyhelminthes; Trematoda; Strigeidida; Schistosomatidae.